GUCCAAGCUUUUAUUUGGUAGGUAUUCAUAAACUAACAUCCUUUCUUCUUUUUCAAAGCAACAACCGAGCAACCUCACAAGAUUUCUGUGUUGAAGUUUAACUAAUAAUCUAACUUCAGUUUUAAACUCUUCUGUUCCUUGACCUGAAUGUUCGGACAAUCUUUUCACUGCUAUCUCUUGUCCAUUGGCUAGGCAGCCCUGAAAUGUUUAUAACUCUUGAACCUCAUUUCACCUUUUUUUUCAUCAUUUUUCUACAAUUCUAUCGAAUGAAAGUAAAGACAUAAAAGACACUUCUCACAACAGUAGCUCAUGCAUGGUAGAGUUUGAGUUACCUUAUAGACAGAACCAAAUCCACCUUGCCCAAGCAUAUUCUCAUCACCAAAAUUUCUUGUUGCUUCUGUAAUCACUUUAAGGCUGAAGAAGGGAAGAUUUGAAUGUGUGUUGCUUUGGAUAUCGUGGUCAUCUUCAGAGGAAAAUUGGUUUAAAUGUUGCAUCACUUUAUCUGAAAUUAUAAAUGCACGACAUCAAAUAAUAAGCUGCUCUUACAUUUUUUGUGUGCUAUUUCUACAAAUUAUUCCCUUUAAUUGAAAUAAGGGAAAACAAGUUCUAAAGUCUCUUCUUUUUCAGAGGGUAAAUUGUAGUGGAUGAGCUAUAAAUAUUUGUAUAUAAAUUGUAUACAUGUCGAUGCGUCUAUACAUUUUGCUAGUGUUUCCAAUGUAAGGAUCCCUCUUAUUUAUUAUAAAUAAAAUCUUAGAUGCAAUACCUGCAGUUGCUAACGAAUCUUAAGAUUGGUCAAGUAGCCUUACUAACUAUACCAUAGUACGCAGUCCAUAUAAUGAGUAAAACAAAACAAAAAAGGAAUUUCUAAACCAGAAGAAACUGAUAAAUAUACCAAUUUUCAUGAAUAUAUCCAUAGUUGUUGCAUAUUGACAAUGAAGUUAUUAAGAGGUAUUCAAGAGACUAACAAAUAGUAUUGAACCAUAAAAAACGGGAUAUCACUACGGAGGUUAUAAAACAGGGAAGCGACUUCUCAAAAGAGGCCACAUUGGAAUUGGUAAAUUUCCUCUAACGGUUUGAUCAUUAUCCGUUGUUAUAUAAGACAGUUGAUGUCAAAAGGUUUGAGCCAUAGUUUUUAAAUACAAAAGAAAUUAAUUUAAACACGCAUAUAUAUACAUUUAUAUACAUUGUCAUUCAACCCAAGGCUAUACAGAGAUCAUUAUAGUGACGGCACAUAAAUUUAAAACUUGUCUUUUAAUCAUUGGAGUGCUGUGUAAUAGCAUCCUUAAUAGUAAAUGACGCACCUUUGCUUUUUCUCUUCCACAAGUAAUAUACACAGGAGAAAAGAAUGAGACUUGCUAGUACUGAAGCAAUCAGAAUUGCAACCAUCCUCUUUUUACCGCUUACUCCUUUUGUUUUUUUGUUAUAAUUUGCUGACAAGAAGAAACAGUUCAGAUAGGUUGUAGCAGCAGAAUCCUACUAUAUAUACGUGGUGUUAAAUUCAAGAAGUAAAAGAUAGUGUGAGGGAGUACCUAGUUCAACUGCAUCAACACGGACAAAUAAAUCUUGGCCUUGAUCACUCAGUUUUUGUAUGUCUAUCAAAUUUCCAUGCCAUGCCAAGCACCCACUUCCACCAUUUCUUACAUCAAGAACUGCAUAUGCAGUGCAAGAGCAGUUUCUCAAGCAAUCCUCCUCACACUUUUCCAAACUCCAACCCUCUUUGGCAGUUGCCUCGGAGGUAUCAGGAAGCUUCAAGCCUUCAAGUUUCACAAACCCUUCUCCAUUCCCACAAACGGAUGCACCUUGCUUCCUCACGCACCCUCCUGACCCAUCUCUGUUAUCAUACCAAUCAUGUGGGAAUUUGGGUUCAAACCCAGGUAGACAAGAACACCGAAAUUCCUCAAAGUUCAAAGGGUCACAGUUACUGUUUGAUCCACAGGUUCCAUAGUUAUCACAUUGAUUUGUUGGUUCAGACCAGUACCUAUUCCAUUGACUCUUUUGGUUAUCCCAAGUGAAUACUUGAAAGAAACCUGACGGUUGAACUACUACCCGAGAGACCAAGGGCUUAUCAACCGUGUUAUAUGAGAGUACUACCUGGUUGUCAUCUUCUAUAAAAGAAACGUUAAAAGUAAAGAUUUCUCUCUUCAUGUCGGGUAUACCCAUAAAUAAUUCACCGUUCCACGAUCCGCCUCGCCAAAAGGGAAUGUUCAGGUGAUAAAAGAACAGCUGUGGUUUCCCAGUGCUGCUUAUUUUCAAAGUGUAAGAACCUGUUCCGGGAUCAUCAUCUGUUUUCCAAGAUUGGAGGAACCAACUCUGGUUUGUUCUUCUGUUAAAUCCAACUUUUAGAUCUUGAAGCAAGGUAUCAGUGGGAUGGUCAAAGCUUUGCCAGAUGAAAGCUUCGGUGUUCUCAAGAAUCAGAACAAGGUUACCUAUAUCUGUGAGUUUAGCCAUGACUUUGGUGCUGUUUGAUUGGGAAGUUGAAAUAUUGGUAGACCAAACGGGAAUGGUGCUAUAUUUGUGUUGGAGUACUAGGUUUCCAUCUGGGUUGAUUGAAAGAAACCCAGAAGUGUCAUUGAUGGGAGUGUUUCUGUUUGCCACCCAAGCAACAGUUUGUUCUUGGACGUUGUUGUACCAUAUUCCCACAUAGCGGAAGUUGGACUUGCCUGGACUGAAGAAUCCAAGAGCAAAUGUCUGGGCUUUUGAAACAAGAAGCUCUCCAUCUCUGAUGCCUUUGUCAGCAAAUAGGGUAUCAGAAGAAGAGCAAUACGAGAAGCUGAAUAGUAGAAUCUUAGCGCAAAGCAGGUAGAUGCUAUGCUUGUUGUAUUGACUCAUGAGAAAGCUUGAAGGACUUUUAGCAUAGUGCAUGGAGUUGUUGUUUCAUACUCCUCUUGCAUAUUAUGAGGAGAAAUAAAUAGCAGUGGUGUGAAAUCCAAUAUGCUCGUACUCCUUGUACUAAUUUAUCUCUCUAGCAGAUUCAUGUACCCACAACUACGCAAGACUUUCACUUGGAUUGAGGACUAGUACACUUGGGAACACUCAUUCCUUUUGUGAAGCUUGUCUUUGGAACGUCGUGGAGGCUGCUGAAUGCCCACCCAACAAAGGCCGUACCUAAAACGUCACUCUUUUCUGCCUACAAAUAACUGUUGCAUGGUGUAACAUUGCAUUGCUUGCACCACCAAUUGCACAAAGACACAUGACACAUUAUGUUUCAAACAAUACCGUAUUUUUAGGAGGGAGUAGUGGAUAAAUAUACAUUUAAUAACUUCUUAGAAUCAUUACUGUUGUUUUGUGUUAUCACUUUUCUCGUCAUUCUGCAUUUCUAUGUAGUACUAUAUUACUAUAUUCAUCUCAGAAUACGCGAUUUUGCUUAACUCAACUAUUAACUUAACCCAUACGGUAAGAGAUGGUUAUCACUAAUUAAUCUAUAUAUAUAGAUAAUCUCUUGGUCGAUAUCUCUCUUCUUCUUUUCAAAUUUUGAGAUGAUGAAAACAACUUUUUAAUGUUUCUUGAGCUUAUCAUAUAUUUAAUAUAUUAUCUCAAUAUCAUCAGUACUUCCAUUUCAUGGAAUAGUUCUUCAUGAUUAGAAACUUUCUCAAUUUUUCAUUGAUUUGACAAUUUGAAAAAAAAAAACUUCAUUAAUUUACAACUAUCAACAAGUUAACAUGAUUUUACCAUUGUUAGUCAGAUGCAAAUUUUUUAUCAACAACAAAUUAAUUCAAGAUGAAUUUUUACAUAAGGAUCAUUUCAUAUGUAGUCAAACCCGGGUACAUAAAGGCGGACUCAAACACUCUACAAACUCUAAAAAACGUAGUCGAAAAGAUACUAACAAAACCAACAAAACCUUUGAAAAAUACCACCCCCAACUCAAGAAACACCACCCCACCAACCAAGAACAUAAACAAAUGAGACUAAGACGACGUAAACAUAUCAAAGGGGCAAGACACCAAUCUGAAUAGGAAAAAUAAGCAAAUGACACUUUAGAAGAUAACCUAGACCAAACCUUUAGUUGAGACAAAGAUAAAAUUUCAUAAUGAUCCAACACUCCAUCCUUGAAAAUGAUUGAAAAUGAUCUUAUUCCUAUGUCCUUAGAUCUCAUUUACCACUGCAAUCCAAACAUUCCGCAAAACUAAGUUAACAGAAUUAGAAUCAGAAGCGUUACACAAAUUGAACUAUAAGAAGUGUGAAUGAGCGUCGAAAGGAUCAGCUGACAUCCACCCUAACCAUGCAUAACAGAGAUUCCACACUAACUAGGUGAUUCUACAACCAAAAAACAAGUGAUUUAAAGUCUCUUCUUCAACCAUACGUCUAACCAAAUUAAUCUUAGUAACAAUCUUGUUUUCCAACACCUUCCAGACGGUAAUGUGGACAAAGGGUAAAGCUUAAUCCUCCAAAAAACCUUAAACAACCGCGCACGAUCGCCAUUUAACUCUCCUCUUAGAAUAUCAUAAGCAGAUUUAAUCGAUAACUCUAGCAAACUCACAAUUUUUCCAAACCCGUUUAUCAUCAGUUUCCACAACAGGACACGAGUCAUGCACCACAUCAAGAGGUGACUAACCUGAUUCUUCUCCCAAUCAAAAAGACUCAUUCUCCACUCCAAAUUCCACACUCAUACACUAUUAACCCAAUACCUGCAAAGAUCCAACGUUAAAGCUUUGUUAGGAUAAAGAGAAAACAAUCUUGGAAAUUGGUUCUUUAAAACAACAUUACCCACCCACCUAUCCUCCCAAAAGGUAAUGUUCUUACCAUUACCAACUUCCCACUUACAACAGUCUUCGAAAUCCCUACCCCAGUCUUUUAUCUCCCAAAUCGCCUUCAAAUCUCUCCACCACAGGAGUCUUUGUUAUAAGAUAUGUUUUCUUUCAAACUUCUCCAACCUCCGUAUUUAGAUUGUAAUGCCUCCUUUCAUAAACCACUUUGAACCUAACCUCCAAAUCCAUUUACUUAACAAGGCCAAAUUGAAAAGUUUAACAUUAAUGAUACCGAACCCACCACCUUCACCAGACACACAAACCUUCUCCUAAGAGGUCCAAGCGAUCUUCCUCCCUUCAAACCCCAAACCCUAAAGAAAAUUUCUUUGUACUUUGACAAUCUAUUUCAACACAACUGAAGGCAUCCUAAACAUGGAUAUAUAGAACAACUAGAUUUUUUUUUUUAUCUGAGCUCUUAAAUGAGAAACAUAGUAUAUGUGUAGCUUUGUCAAGAAGAAGAUAAACCUAUCAAUUUGGUGAAAUAAACAUAUUCAUGGAUGCUAGAAGUCAGACCACCACCAACUUAUAUUUUGNNNNNNNNNNNNNNNNNNNNNNNNNNNNNNNNNNNNNNNNNNNNNNNNNNNNNNNNNNNNNNNNNNNNNNNNNNNNNNNNNNNNNNNNNNNNNNNNNNNNUAACAGAUAUUUCUGUUAAUUUUAUUAUUUGCUAUCACAUCAAGAAGUGAUUGAGCAGAAAAGUAUUUUUUAACUUUAUCCCUCUACAAAGAAACAAAAUAAUAAUAAAUAGAAUAUCGGAUAAGUGUUGUUAUCACAUUUAUUUAAUUAAGUACGAUAUCCAUUGUAGUCACAUUUACAUGUUGAAUUUGUAUAAAUUAACAUUAUUUCAUUAUUAGAUUAUUAUGAAUAUUAUCAAUAAUGAAAAUUAAUAUUUUAUUAUGCUAAUUACAAUAAUAAAUAUUUGUUAAUAAAGUUUAUGAUGUGCUUCUACUUUCAGUUAGAUUUUAAGUAAUAAGAGGCUCUGCGUCGUUAUAAAACUGGAAAAACACUACACAACAUUUGGAAGCACCUCUUGAUUAAAUAAAAACAUGAACCACCAGAUAAAGUGUACUUUUCCUUCAUUCCUUUUCUUGAAAUAAAGGUUAUAAACAUAGAUUCAAGAUGCCCUUUCUUAGUACACACAUUUCAAACUUCUCUGAUUAGAUUGUGUCGCAAAAAUUCAAGAUUUAAUCUCUAAAGUUUCUACCAUCACACACAAGCACAUAAAAGAAGGCGAUAUUCCAGAACUCUAAACUACUAUAGAACCUAGAGUAGAAAGAUUCACAUUUUAUGUGAACAAUAUACAUGUCUGAGGUAACUUUUAGCUAACGAGCACUGAUAGUAGUUGCUGUUAUUUCAUUUAUUGAAGAUCCUCCACCUAAUGUUAAUGACUCGGGCAAAUCUCCAUUCAGUAAAAAUGCUGGCUUUUCGGGUGGAGAAAGAGGUGUUUCAUUGCCUAGCAUGAAAACAACUUCUGACAAGGAAGGUCUAUUCGCUGAAUUUUCUUGCACGCACAAUAGACCAAUUUGAAUGCACCUCAGAACAAGAGAUGGAGAAUAAGACUGAGGUAGUGUUGAAUCAACUACAUCCAAGGCCCUUCCUUCUGUCCAAACUGUCCACACCUACACGUGUAUAACAUAAUCAUUAAAUUAAUCAGUGAUAACACAAUAAUUUGUUUGCCACUUUUAAUGAUUUUUCUCUCUCAACUUACAUGUCCAAUCAAAUUUAGAGAGGGUCUUCCCUUUUCACAAUCUGUGUUCCUCUUCCCAGCAAUAAUCUCUAGGAGUAAGACCCCAAAACUAAAGACAUCAGAUUUUGUUGAAUAGCGUCCAUGCAUUGCAUAUUCAGGUGACAUAUAACCACUGCAUAAUCCAAAACGGUUAGAACAUUACGAAUAAUACAUGUUAAUAACUCCUGUCUAUAGGUUUACAUGAAUAAUAGACCUACUAUGUUCCAACCACUCUUCUCGUCCUUGCUUGGAUUUGAUCUUCUCCAAAUAUUCUAGCCAUACCAAAAUCUGAGAUUUUGGGAUUCAUUGCAGCAUCAAGGAGCACAUUGCUGGCUUUUAGAUCUCUAUGAAUUAUUUUCAGCCUUGAAUCUUGAUGAAGAUAUAACACACCUCGAGCAAUCCCCAAAAUGAUUUCAAAGCGCUUAUCCCAAGUCAGUGAUGACCUUCGCUUUUCAUCUGAAUUUAAGCGUUCAAAUUCUCAGAUAUGUAUAAAAAAUGUCAUGAAACAGGAGUAUAACAUUUUUUUUUGGUAUAAUGUUACAGUGGUUUAAUCAGGGGAUCUAUGAAAUUUAUAUAUGAAGGUUGGGGAGAAAUGAGUGAGUAGAGAAAGACAUACCGAAUAUGAAGAAGUCCAAGCUUUUAUUUGGUAGGUAUUCAUAAACUAACAUCCUUUCUUCUUUUUCAAAGCAACAACCGAGCAACCUCACAAGAUUUCUGUGUUGAAGUUUAACUAAUAAUCUAACUUCAGUUUUAAACUCUUCUGUCCCUUGACCUGAAUGUUCGGACAAUCUUUUCACUGCUAUCUCUUGUCCAUUGGCUAGGCAGCCCU
RNAcentral lists this long non-coding RNA (7297 nucleotides) under Phaseolus vulgaris (common bean). RNAcentral describes it as "long non-coding RNA (PVUL_LNC004640)". The record is from RNAcentral. Lineage: Eukaryota; Viridiplantae; Streptophyta; Magnoliopsida; Fabales; Fabaceae.